UUACCAAAGUCGGUCAACUGUGGAUGGG
Molecule: non-coding RNA, 28 nt
Filed under: Cricetulus griseus (Chinese hamster)
Lineage: Eukaryota; Metazoa; Chordata; Mammalia; Rodentia; Cricetidae
Source: RNAcentral